AUUGAACGCUGGCGGAAUGCUUUACACAUGCAAGUCGAACGGCAGCACGGGGGCAACCCUGGUGGCGAGUGGCGAACGGGUGAGUAAUACAUCUGAACGUGCCCGGUCUUGGGGGAUAACGUAGCGAAAGUUACGCUAAUACCGCAUACGAUCUGAGCAUGAAAGCGGGGGACCGUCAGGCCUCGCGCUAGCGGAUCGACCGAUGUCAGAUUAGGUAGUUGGUGGGGUAAAGGCCUACCAAGCCGACGAUCGGUAGCUGGUCUGAGAGGACGACCGGCCACACUGGGACUGAGAGACGGCCCAGACUCCUACGGGAGGCAGAAGCGGGGACUUUUGGAAAAUGGGCGCAAGACUGAACCAGCCAUUCCGCGUGGAGGAAGAAGGGCUUCGGGUUGUAAGAUGCUUUUGUAUGGAAAGACAAGGCUCUGCAGAAAACAUGCGGCUCAUGACGGUACCGUAAGAAUAAGCACCGGCUAACUACGUG
This 484-nucleotide ribosomal RNA is filed under the name uncultured bacterium. RNAcentral's name for it is "partial 16S ribosomal RNA". It matches the Rfam family "Bacterial small subunit ribosomal RNA", at positions 29 to 507 of the family's 1533-position model. The record is from RNAcentral.